RNAcentral lists this ribosomal RNA (301 nucleotides) under uncultured bacterium. RNAcentral's name for it is "partial 16S ribosomal RNA". It matches the Rfam family "Bacterial small subunit ribosomal RNA", at positions 509 to 807 of the family's 1533-position model. The record is from RNAcentral.
CAGUCGCCGCGGUAAUACAGAGGGUGCGAGCGUUAAUCGGAUUUACUGGGCGUAAAGCGUGCGUAGGCGGCUGAUUAAGUCGGAUGUGAAAUCCCUGAGCUUAACUUAGGAAUUGCAUUCGAUACUGGUCAGCUAGAGUAUGGGAGAGGAUGGUAGAAUUCCAGGUGUAGCGGUGAAAUGCGUAGAGAUCUGGAGGAAUACCGAUGGCGAAGGCAGCCAUCUGGCCUAAUACUGACGCUGAGGUACGAAAGCAUGGGGAGCAAACAGGAUUAGAUACCCGCGUAGUCCCUGUCUCUUAUAC